GGCGACCGGGUGAGUACACGUGACUAACCUGCCCUUGAGUGGGGGAUAACCUCGGGAAACCGGGGCUAAUACCGCAUAACAUCGCAAGAUCAAAGGAGCAAUCCGCUGAAGGAGGGGGUCGCGGCUGAUUAGUUAGUUGGUGAGGUAACGGCUCACCAAGACGAAGAUCAGUAGCCGGCCUGAGAGGGCGCACGGCCACACUGGAACUGAAACACGGUCCAGACUCCUACGGGAGGCAGCAGUGGGGAAUUUUGCGCAAUGGGGGAAACCCUGACGCAGCAACGCCGCGUGGAGGAUGAAGUCCCUUGGGAUGUAAACUCCUUUCGAUCGGGACGAUUAUGACGGUACCGGAAGAAGAAGCACCGGCUAACUCUGUGCCAGCAGCCGCGGUAAUACAGAGGGUGCGAGCGUUGUUCGGAAUUAUUGGGCGUAAAGGGCGCGUAGGCGGUGCGGUAAGACUGUGGUGAAAUCUCCGGGCUCAACUCGGAAAUUGCCGCGGUGACUGCCGUGCUGGAGUGUGGGAGAGGUGAGUGGAAUUCCCGGUGUAGCGGUGAAAUGCGUAGAUAUCGGGAGGAACACCUGUGGCGAAAGCGGCUCACUGGACCACAACUGACGCUGAGGCGCGAAAGCUAGGGGAGCAAACAGGAUUAGAUACCCUGGUAGUCCUAGCCCUAAACGAUGAUUGCUUGGUGUGUCGGGUACCCAAUCCCGACGUGCCGCAGCUAACGCGAUAAGCAAUCCGCCUGGGGAGUACGGUCGCAAGACUGAAACUCAAAGGAAUUGACGGGGGCC
This 792-nucleotide ribosomal RNA is filed under the name uncultured Acidobacteriota bacterium. Its description in RNAcentral is "bacterial SSU rRNA". It matches the Rfam family "Bacterial small subunit ribosomal RNA", at positions 97 to 921 of the family's 1533-position model. The record is from RNAcentral. Lineage: Bacteria; Pseudomonadati; Acidobacteriota.